GGGGAUGUAGCUCAGUGGUAGAGCACUUGCUUAGUAUGCAUGAAGCUAUAGGUAAAUCCCUA
This 62-nucleotide transfer RNA is filed under the name Cavia porcellus (domestic guinea pig). It matches the Rfam family "tRNA", at positions 1 to 62 of the family's 71-position model. Rfam says of the family: Transfer RNA (tRNA) molecules are approximately 80 nucleotides in length. Their secondary structure includes four short double-helical elements and three loops (D, anti-codon, and T loops). Lineage: Eukaryota; Metazoa; Chordata; Mammalia; Rodentia; Caviidae. The record is from Rfam by way of RNAcentral.